UAUUGAGCAGGUAUGUGAGCCAAGUAUAAAAAGGGGGAAGGUGAAAACGUAGGAGCAAAAAAAAAAAAAGAACAAACGGGAACGAAAGUAAGAGCAUAGAGUGCGACUCAGAUAAUCGAGUGGGAUAAAUAAUAGGAAUUAAUAUUAAGGUGACAAGGUUUAGCAGGAUCAAGAUGGGAGAAAAAUCACAGUGUUUUCUUUUUUUUGUUGUGUACUAUUUGUAUUUUGACUGGACUCUUGUAAUAACAUAAAGGCCCAAAUGACUAUUUUUUGUUUCUUUUAAUAAACUUUUGGUACCCAAUUAUUUUA
This is a non-coding RNA of Camellia sinensis, 309 nucleotides long. Lineage: Eukaryota; Viridiplantae; Streptophyta; Magnoliopsida; Ericales; Theaceae. The record is from RefSeq and is a predicted model, not a curated record.